RNAcentral lists this ribosomal RNA (925 nucleotides) under uncultured bacterium. Its description in RNAcentral is "bacterial SSU rRNA". It matches the Rfam family "Bacterial small subunit ribosomal RNA", at positions 8 to 916 of the family's 1533-position model. The record is from RNAcentral.
AGAGUUUGAUCCUGGCUCAGAACGAACGUUAGCGGUGUGGAUUAGGCAUGCAAGUCGUGCGCGAGAGUCUCCUUCGGGAGGCGAGUAAAGCGGCGAAAGGGUGAGUAAUACAUAACCAACCUAUCCCUCAGAUCGGAAUAACAGGUGGAAACACCUGCUAAUGCCGAAUGGCCCACGCGGGAGGCAUCUCCUGUUUGGUAAACGGUGGCUUCGGCUGCUGCUGGGGGAGGGGGUUAUGCGCUAUCAGCUUGUUGGUGGGGUAAUGGCCCACCAAGGCAAUGACGGCUAGCCGGUCUGAGAGGACGAUCGGCCACACUGGGACUGAGACACUGCCCAGACUCCUACGGGAGGCAGCAGUGGGGAAUAUUGGACAAUGGGCGCAAGCCUGAUCCAGCAAUGCCGCGUGUGUGAAGAAGGCCUGCGGGUUGUAAAGCACUUUCAGUAGAGAAGAAAAGCAGAGGAUUAAUACUCCUUUGUCUUGACGUUACCUACAGAAGAAGCACCGGCUAACUCCGUGCCAGCAGCCGCGGUAAUACGGAGGGGGUUAGCGUUGUUCGGAAUUACUGGGCGUAAAGCGUACGUAGGCGGAUUAGAAAGUUAGGGGUGAAAUCCCAGGGCUCAACCCUGGAACUGCCUCUAAAACUACUAGUCUAGAGUUCGAGAGAGGUGAGUGGAACUCCGAGUGUAGAGGUGAAAUUCGUAGAUAUUCGGAAGAACACCAGUGGCGAAGGCGGCUCACUGGCUCGAUACUGACGCUGAGGUACGAAAGUGUGGGGAGCAAACAGGAUUAGAUACCCUGGUAGUCCACACCGUAAACGAUGAAUGCCAGUCGUCGGGCAGUAUACUGUUCGGUGACACACCUAACGGAUUAAGCAUUCCGCCUGGGGAGUACGGUCGCAAGAUUAAAACUCAAAGGAAUUGACGG